GUGGGGAAUUUUGGACAAUGGGCGCAAGCCUGAUCCAGCCAUUCCGCGUGCAGGAUGAAGGCCUUCGGGUUGUAAACUGCUUUUGUACGGAACGAAAAGGUUCUCUCUAAUACAGGGGGCUGAUGACGGUACCGUAAGAAUAAGCACCGGCUAACUACGUGCCAGCAGCCGCGGUAAUACGUAGGGUGCAAGCGUUAAUCGGAAUUACUGGGCGUAAAGCGUGCGCAGGCGGUGAUGUAAGACAGUUGUGAAAUCCCCGGGCUCAACCUGGGAACUGCAUCUGUGACUGCAUUGCUGGAGUGCGGCAGAGGGGGAUGGAAUUCCGCGUGUAGCAGUGAAAUGCGUAGAUAUGCGGAGGAACACCGAUGGCGAAGGCAAUCCCCUGGGCCUGCACUGACGCUCAUGCACGAAAGCGUGGGGAGCAAACAGGAUUAGAAACCCUAGUAGUCC
RNAcentral lists this ribosomal RNA (450 nucleotides) under uncultured bacterium. Its description in RNAcentral is "partial 16S ribosomal RNA". It matches the Rfam family "Bacterial small subunit ribosomal RNA", at positions 354 to 796 of the family's 1533-position model. The record is from RNAcentral.